This 664-nucleotide ribosomal RNA is filed under the name uncultured Vibrionaceae bacterium. Its description in RNAcentral is "bacterial SSU rRNA". It matches the Rfam family "Bacterial small subunit ribosomal RNA", at positions 28 to 671 of the family's 1533-position model. The record is from RNAcentral. Lineage: Bacteria; Pseudomonadati; Pseudomonadota; Gammaproteobacteria; Vibrionales; Vibrionaceae.
AUUGAACGCUGGCGGCAGGCCUAACACAUGCAAGUCGAGCGGAAACGAGUUAUCUGAACCUUCGGGGGACGAUAACGGCGUCGAGCGGCGGACGGGUGAGUAAUGCCUAGGAAAUUGCCCUGAUGUGGGGGAUAACCAUUGGAAACGAUGGCUAAUACCGCAUAACGCCUUCGGGCCAAAGAGGGGGACCUUCGGGCCUCUCGCGUCAGGAUAUGCCUAGGUGGGAUUAGCUAGUUGGUGAGGUAAUGGCUCACCAAGGCGACGAUCCCUAGCUGUUCUGAGAGGAUGAUCAGCCACACUGGGACUGAGACACGGCCCAGACUCCUACGGGAGGCAGCAGUGGGGAAUAUUGCACAAUGGGGGAAACCCUGAUGCAGCCAUGCCGCGUGUGUGAAGAAGGCCUUCGGGUUGUAAAGCACUUUCAGUAGGGAGGAAAGGUGAUGUGUUAAUAGCACAUUGCUGUGACGUUACCUACAGAAGAAGGACCGGCUAACUCCGUGCCAGCAGCCGCGGUAAUACGGAGGGUCCGAGCGUUAAUCGGAAUUACUGGGCGUAAAGCGUGCGCAGGCGGUUUGUUAAGCCAGAUGUGAAAUCCCCGGGCUCAACCUGGGAAUUGCAUUUGGAACUGGCGAACUAGAGUCCUGUAGAGGGGGGUAGAAUUUCA